GACGAACGCUGGCGGCGUGCCUAAUACAUGCAAGUCGAGCGAACAGAUGAGGAGCUUUCUCCUCUGACUUUAGCGGCGGACGGGUGAGGAACACGUGGAUAGACUACCUAUUAGACUGGGAUAACUUCGGGGAACCGGGGCUAAUACCGGAUAAUAUGUUGAACCGCAUUGUUCAAGAGUGAAAGAAGGUCGUGCUGGCACUUAUAGAUGGAUCCGCGGCGCAUUAGCUAGUUGGUAAGGUGACGGCUUACCAAGGCAACGAUGCGUAGCCGACCUGAGAGGGUGAUCGGCCACACUGGAACUGAGACACGGUCCAGACUCCUACGGGAGGCAGCAGUAGGGAAUCUUCCGCAAUGGGCGAAAGCCUGACGGAGCAACGCCGCGUGAGUGAAGAAGGUCUUCGGAUCGUAAAACUCUGUUAUUAGGGAAGAACAAAUGUGUAAGUAACUAUGCACGUCUUGACGGUACCUAAUCAGAAAGCCACGGCUAACUACGUG
RNAcentral lists this ribosomal RNA (497 nucleotides) under uncultured bacterium. RNAcentral describes it as "partial 16S ribosomal RNA". It matches the Rfam family "Bacterial small subunit ribosomal RNA", at positions 28 to 507 of the family's 1533-position model. The record is from RNAcentral.